GCUAGUAUAGCUCAAUUGGUAGAGCAGCUGAUUUGUAAUCAGCAGGUUAUGGGUUCAAUUCCCCUUACUAGCU
RNAcentral lists this transfer RNA (73 nucleotides) under Gracilaria urvillei. Its description in RNAcentral is "tRNA-Thr". It matches the Rfam family "tRNA". Rfam says of the family: Transfer RNA (tRNA) molecules are approximately 80 nucleotides in length. The record is from RNAcentral. Lineage: Eukaryota; Rhodophyta; Florideophyceae; Gracilariales; Gracilariaceae.